RNAcentral lists this long non-coding RNA (408 nucleotides) under Anser cygnoides (Swan goose). Its description in RNAcentral is "lncRNA (ENSACDG00005008726.1)". Lineage: Eukaryota; Metazoa; Chordata; Aves; Anseriformes; Anatidae. The record is from RNAcentral.
AAAAAAAGGUGUCAUGACUCUGGCAGUUCCAAAGUGACACAAAUCACUGUAGCGUGCUGGGGCCUGGCUUGUGCCUACCGAGCUGCAAUUGAUGCUACUAGCAACCUAGCUCCAGCUCCAGCUCCUGCAGCCGCUCCAGUUCCAGCUCCUGCAGCUGCUCCAGUUCCAGCUCCUGCAGCUGCUCCAGUUCCAGCUCCCGCAGCCGCUCCAGUUCCAGCUCCCGCAGCUGCUCCCGUUCCAGCUCCUGCAGCCACUCCAGCUCCAGUUCCAGCUCCCGCAGCCCCCUCCAGCCCCUGCAGCAGCUCCGGCUCCUGCAGCUGCUCCAGUUCCAGCUCCCGCAGCCACUCCAGCUCCUGCAGCAGCUCCGGCUCCUGCAGCUGCUCCCACUCCUGUGUCUGGGUCAGAGAA